CUAUGUUGUCAUUAUCAUGUGACCUACGAUGUUAAAACAAGCACAACAACUUAAAAGAUAUGAGUGACAGGUUUAAUUAAUCUAACUGUAAUCUUAUGUAACCGGGUGGUAUUAGCGUGUGGGAUACGCAAGGAGUGCACUUCCCCUUUAAGAGAGCGGCUGCAAAUGAUGACGCACUAAGAGUGCGAUAUAGAGACAGACCGUUUAAGCAGUGCAGGAGAGAAGGCAAUAGUGUAUCAUCCUAGGGGAUUUGGAUGAACGGAGAUUGUGUGAUAUUGCACGUGACAAGUGUUCCGGAUUCUCAGAAUUCGAUGGUGAACCCACAUCCUACUGCCAUCUCAACACAGCUGUGCCAAUUCUGCAGCUGCGCUGUGCUUCACAAUCUCACUAUUCUCAAUGGGGACAUUGUUGAGCAAGAGGAUGAGGAAGACCAUGACGACCCCUCUCUGAACCACACAACCUUGAAGCAAGUGCAGGGAACACGUGCGGGACAAUCUGGCUGCUGCUGUGUCUGCUCCAAACAUUUGUGUGCCUGCUCUCCAUGAGCAUGACUACACUCUAAAAAAUGCUGGGUUAAAUAUAACCCAACGCUGGGUUAAAAAGGGACCAACCCAACAGUUGGGUUUUUUUGACCCAGCAGUUGGCAGAGGUAUAAAGUCCAGGGGUCAGAAAGUAAAAGUCCUGCCAUAUGUUUAUUCCACCCAUGAACUCAGCAAGCUGUUUUAACCAGAGGAGAACCAAGUCAUUCCUUUCACAUC
Long non-coding RNA from Cyprinus carpio carpio, 758 nucleotides. Lineage: Eukaryota; Metazoa; Chordata; Actinopteri; Cypriniformes; Cyprinidae. The record is from Ensembl.